GACGUAGGGCGCAAGCGUUGUCCGGAUUUAUUGGGCGUAAAGAGCUCGUAGGCGGUUUGUCGCGUCGACUGUGAAAACCCGCAGCUCAACUGCGGGCCUGCAGCCGAUACGGGCAGACUAGAGUUCGGCAGGGGAGACUGGAAUUCCUGGUGUAGCGGUGAAAUGCGCAGAUAUCAGGAGGAACACCGGUGGCGAAGGCGGGUCUCUGGGCCGAUACUGACGCUGAGGAGCGAAAGCGUGGGGAGCGAACAGG
This 253-nucleotide ribosomal RNA is filed under the name uncultured bacterium. Its description in RNAcentral is "partial 16S ribosomal RNA". It matches the Rfam family "Bacterial small subunit ribosomal RNA", at positions 524 to 776 of the family's 1533-position model. The record is from RNAcentral.